Molecule: ribosomal RNA, 323 nt
Filed under: Marenzelleria sp. CFS-1997
Lineage: Eukaryota; Metazoa; Annelida; Polychaeta; Spionida; Spionidae
Description: partial 16S ribosomal RNA
Rfam family: Bacterial large subunit ribosomal RNA
Source: RNAcentral
UUUUUACUUCUAAAAAAUUAUCCUUUAAGUGAAGAGACUUAAAUAAAAUAAAAAGACAAAAAGACCCUAUUGAGCUUUAUUUCAUAAGUUAAACUUCUAUAGCCUAUGCAAAAGAACCUUACCUAUAGAAAUUUUGUUGGGGCGACAAGAGAAGACCUAAAUCUUCUCUAUACUACAAGAAUAUUCCUCUACUAAUGAUCCGCAAUUAACGAUUAACAGAACCAGCUACCAUAGGGAUAACAGGCUAAUCUUCUUUGAGAGCCCAAAUUGACAAGAAGGAUUGGCACCUCGAUGUUGGCUUAGGAUACCUGAUAGAUGCAGAA